This 468-nucleotide ribosomal RNA is filed under the name uncultured bacterium. RNAcentral's name for it is "partial 16S ribosomal RNA". It matches the Rfam family "Bacterial small subunit ribosomal RNA", at positions 28 to 507 of the family's 1533-position model. The record is from RNAcentral.
GACGAACGCUGGCGGCGUGCUUAACACAUGCAAGUCGAACGGAAAGGCCCUGCUUUUGUGGGGUGCUCGAGUGGCGAACGGGUGAGUAACACGUGAGUAACCUGCCCUUGACUUUGGGAUAACUUCAGGAAACUGGGGCUAAUACCGGAUAGGAGCUCCUGCUGCAUGGUGGGGGUUGGAAAGUCUCGGCGGUUGGGGAUGGACUCGCGGCUUAUCAGCUUGUUGGUGGGGUAGUGGCUUACCAAGGCUUUGACGGGUAGCCGGCCUGAGAGGGUGACCGGCGACAUUGGGACUGAGGUACGGCCCAGACUCCUACGGGAGGCAGCAGUGGGGAAUAUUGCACAAUGGGCGGAAGCCUGAUGCAGCAACGCCGCGUGCGGGAUGACGGCCUUCGGGUUGUAAACCGCUUUCGCCUGUGACGAAGCGUGAGUGACGGUAAUGGGUAAAGAAGCACCGGCUAACUACGUG